RNAcentral lists this long non-coding RNA (1892 nucleotides) under Vigna radiata. Its description in RNAcentral is "long non-coding RNA (VRAD_LNC005452)". The record is from RNAcentral. Lineage: Eukaryota; Viridiplantae; Streptophyta; Magnoliopsida; Fabales; Fabaceae.
UGGCAAGCCAUGACCCACUUUCCUGUUCCUAAUUCAAAGUGGUCUUACCCAUAAGAUGAUUGAGAUUAUUUAUAAGAUAAAUGUUUUUUUUUCGUGUUUCUUGUGUUUUCAGAUAACACAGAGUUCCCUCUUAUCUCACCUAAUCAUGACUAGAGUAACCCGAACAACACAAGUUGCCAACCAAUCCACGAAUGAUGAUUUGCCCAAUCCCAGAUGUAAAGGUCAACCUGGUGAUAUAGCAAACUGAUACUUCCGAUGUCACGUUAUAUAUUAGUAUAACGACUCAUCAGUCUUGGAACAAUUGUAACAUAAUUGUCAUUUAGAUGAUUUUCCUUUUUAUUUUGCUCAUAAAUAAAAAUGUCUUUGGAUUAAAAAAAAUAUUCCUAAAAUAGAAAGCGUUACCGAGAAAUGCAUGGAUUCAUAAAAACAAUAGUGAAACAUUCAACUUAUCCAAUACUAAAAUAUCGUUAAUGCCUAGUAGAAACUCAUCCUCGUUCAUGCUCUUCUCCGAGAGCCGUCAAAAAUAACAUUUCAAAAUAAGGCACAAUUGUCCUCAUCAUCCCCAUCAAACCUGUUUUCAAUUAUAUUUCAAUCUAAAAUUAUAUUUGAUAGUCAUGGUCUUGCUUUUGGUACAAUUCAUAUAACAAACAGCUAAUGUAAAUUUUAAACCUUUUAUCUAUUUCUUUGGAGUCUUUAAAUAAAAAGUAAAAGGAGUUUAAAACAAAGAAAACAAAGGAUUGAGAUUCAUUCAUAAAAUUCUAAUAAUCAAGAGGAGCUAUAAUAGGUGAUUCCAUUUCAUUUCACGGUUAAUAAAAUUAAAGUUUGUUUCAGGAUCUCUAGAACGAAGUAGGAGAACCACCUUACAUGGUCCAGAGCUCUAAUCUCCAAAAUAUAAGUUGAAUUUCUUAGCAAUGCCUUAUAUUUUGUCAAUUAUUGAUUUAGUGAUAGUUUGUCUGAUAUUUCUUUGUUGAGACCGUGAAUUUUCUAUUUUGUGAGAACUACAACUGUUUUAAGUAAAGCAUACAAGUAAAAAAUAACAAGAGAAACAAAAUUCAAAGGCGUAAAAGAUGAAAAAACAGUUAAGGUGGUUUUGACGCAAUGAAAGGACAUUGGACGCAUCAGUUAGAAGAGUAGAUCACAUGAUUUUCAGCCUUGCCAAAAAGGGUGGAGAAAGACCAAGAAAGAAGCUGAAUAAAAUAUUGAAAGGAAUCUCAUGGUGAACAGUUUUAACCAAAUCCAAUGCUAUGGUGGCAUUAUGUGAUUUAUGUAGUCAACCCCUAAGUAGAUAAAAUUGAUGCUGUGGUUAUUCAUAUUUUAAAUUUUGAAUACAAGGCUCUUCUUCAUCUUAAGCAAUAAGCAUUAAAUCAAAAUAGGAGAGGAGGGGGUUCUCCAGAGGAAAAACUAGAGGAGGUGGAGGAUUCAAGGUUUGAAACGGAUGUUUCAGAGCAAAGUGAGAAAAAAAUCUAGUGUCUCUAGAAGAUACUAAAGAAGAUGGGUAAUUAUGAAUCAAGCAAAGUGAGUCUUGCUUGCACAGUAGACAGAGCGUGGGAAACAACAUCAAAUUAGGGAUUUUUUUAAAUGCUGAAUAGAGGAGGGAAAUCUCAACUUCUCACCUGAAAAACUUAAAAAAUAAUGCUGUUUUUGUUUUUAGAAAAAAGGGGGUUUGCAAAAGGUCUUGGCCUAACACUGCUAAGGCCGCUAUGUUGGCCAUGACCACAACUCAUAUAUCCGUUAUUCAAAACUUUGUAGCAGCUUAUGGCCUCUCUAGGCCACUAUAAGACCCUAUUAUGGAUAACUAUAGUUCCUUAAUCACUCUCCAUAUUGGACAAACCUCACGGAAGUUCUUUUUUGAAGUUUAAGACAUAUAUAUUCAAUGGUAAUAUCCUUGAUUU